Molecule: non-coding RNA, 516 nt
Organism: Caenorhabditis elegans
Lineage: Eukaryota; Metazoa; Nematoda; Chromadorea; Rhabditida; Rhabditidae
Source: Ensembl
AAUUUUCGAGUAUAUUCUGAAUUUUUCGCUUUUUCUAUUAAAAAAUCCAAAAAUUGCCACGUAGAAAACGUCAAUGCAGUCUCGUUGUGCUUAAAUUAAUCCCAUUUUCCCCUUACAAAACAGUUCAUUUAUCCCAGUUACCUCUCUGCGUUUUUUAGUAUUUUUUCCCCAUUUCCCCAUGCUUAAAUUAAUCUCAUUUUACACAUUUUUCCCCUAUCAGCAGUUCUUUUUAUCUCAUUUUCCUCCCCUUUCUGCGUUUCUCUUAAUCUGUUUUAUGAACAUUACUUAACAAUUGCCACGAAUAGCAUACAUUUAUUUUUUGUCACAAAUAAUAUUCCGGGUUUAUUGCAUUUUUUCCACAAUACUAACCAUAUCUGUUAUAUAGUUGUUCGCAUUAUCCUCAACCUCAUACACUUGCCGUUUUCCCUCAUUUUUCUGUGAAAGUUUUUAUUGUUUUUUAUUGUGUGUGUGUGUUUUUUUUUAUUAUAUUUCAAUUGUGAAUAAUUUUGAUUCGAG